AGAGGCCCAAAGGCUCUCACAGGCCCAGCUACUAUUUUUUCCACUUAUUAUUAUCUUCUUCACUUUUUCUUUCCUCACAGCUGCUUUGCUUCAAUUUCCGUUGUGCCCAAACCCAGGUGAACACGAGCUUGGUAUGUCAUUCUUGCCGAGUCGAAUCAAAGAAGGAUUUGAAAACCAAAAUCAAUUUGGAGAUGGAACUGAAGAUGGAGCCGCAAAAAAAUUCUUGCCCAAAGAGGAUUUCAAAGCCUGCAAUUGAGAUUUCUGUACACAAAUUGGGGCUUUGAAUAUUGUUUUCUGGCUUUGUGAGUCCGAACAAGGCAAGGGUGCACUUAGGGUUGUGAUAGCAAUAUUCCUGCCUUUGACUCUUCCGGUGCAUAUGUACUACAGGGGAAACCCACCGGGUUGAUGCUGUUAUUGAGGUUCAAGCAGGACAGGUGAUUGUAGUCACAAUAGCUUCAAAGUCUCGAAGCUUUAUUUUAAGGAUUCGGUGAAGCAUGUAGCUUUGACCUUCUUUAUGGUUUGAAACUGCUACAGAGACGCUGCUUCCAGGAUUUGAGAGAGAAAGGCUUGUUGCUGCUACAAUAUAGGAAGGCCUGCUGCUGGGAUUUGAAAGCGCAAGGCCUACACCAGAGGCGCCACUGCGAUAUGUUCAUCGGGACGCUGCCCGACAUGUUCAUCGGAGACGCUGCUCCGGUACGGAUCAUCGGGACGCUACCCGGCAUGUUCAUCGGAGACACUGCUCAGGCAUGGAUCAUCGGGACGCUGCCCGGCAUGUUGGUUUUGACAUCAUUGACACCCGAAGGUGCCGCUGUGAGGAGGGCCUGCAACAGAAAAGAGAAGGUGGUGGAGAGCUAUGGAAUGAGGUCCUGAACCUUUUGUCUUCCAAGAUCCUUUGCUGCUUUCUCCUUCUGCUUUUCCACCAUUGCUGUGCUCCGUUGCGUCCUCCCCUUCCCUCCUUUUUUACGUUAGCACGGCUUUCUUAUAUAAUGUACUGCUAACGAGAUUGAGUUCACAUGAACUUCUUGUGUCUGUUGUAAAUUGAAUGUGAACUUCUUGUGUCUAUUGUAAAUUGAAACACUGAUAAGAGAACCUCUUUGUAUGAAUUGUAGUUGAACUCCAACAACCUUGUGCGUGUCACAAUUAUCUUCCCAGGGGAAGAAUGUGACAUGGGUUUUUAGCCUUUAAUUCAAAAUUCUCUUUUCUUUUU
Rosa chinensis is the source of this 1207-nucleotide RNA transcript. RefSeq lists it as uncharacterized. The record is from RefSeq and is a predicted model, not a curated record. Lineage: Eukaryota; Viridiplantae; Streptophyta; Magnoliopsida; Rosales; Rosaceae. The transcript has 5 exons.